ACUAUGACAACAAAGUCCAGUGUAGGCUGAAGAUGGCCACCACUAUGCGCGAAAGACAGCAGUGACCCCAGUCUGCCUUCACCAGAUGGGCUACUGUGUAGCCCUAUCCAGACAGAGCCUAGCCGGGAGGCAAAGCGGCCAGCAAUCAAGCCCCGCAAGUAAGGCCACUGUCUGAGGUCUCGGCUGGCCGAAAGCACGAACCCCUGAUGCCGGCUAUUCUGGUCCAACCCAAUGCCUCUUCUGCACACGCAACCCACAUUGUGAACCUACCAUGCAAUAUCCUACAUGUGCACAGGGUCUCCUGCCCAUAUAUCUCGAAAAUUUGAAUAAUUGCCUUGCGGUACCAACCUGCCUCCACCCAAUACUUUCCUCCCACCAUCUCCCUUCCGUACCCUCUCCACUCGCCUGACACCCUGUCUCCUACAUCCCAAUCUGGAAUGUAGAAUCUACCUCCCCUGUGCCCCGUGGCACUAUUUGCCAACGUCUGUGCCAUAAACACACAUAAAUCUAGGCACUCAUAACUUGACUGAUUCGACAAAGCAUCCCCCAUCACCUCCCGACCUCUGUGACAUGAACACGACUCACCCGCCAUCCCUCCAGUGAAAAUUGCGCAACUGCCUCCACUCAGCGAUCUUUCCCAUCCAUAUCGCCUACUUCCAGACUUCCGAGGCUGUGCGGCUCCCUCGCACCUCUGAUGUCUACAUAUGUACUGCCUGCUACUCCACCAUCAUCCGCAUUCACCCUACUCCUACCUUGCAUCUCAGAACCACAUGGCUCCUUUAUGCCCUAUAUAUGGGCAGCCCCUGCCGAUCCUCUUCCAGCUCUCGCUCCACCUACCCUUCUUACCCGCCCUGAAAUGGAUGACACUGGAGCAUCUGGCCCAUACCCGCCGUUGCCAGUGCUGAGAGCCAUGGGGGCUAACCUGCAAAGAGUAGGAGGGCUACUGCGGUGCGCACGGAAGCCCAGGAGAGGGCCCGGGGGGAGCUGCUGUGGUGCAGAUCUUGGUGGUAGUAGAACAUUUUCAAACAAGAACUUUGAAGGCCAAAGUGGAGAUGGUUUCCAUGUGAACAGCAGUUGAACAUGGGCCAGUCAGUCCGAAAAGAUGGGAGAGUGCCAUUCAUAAGGAUGGGCGAUGCCUCUGUUCCCCUCAGCUGAUCAACAGGAAGUUGGGUCCCUAAACCCAGAGUGGCAGAGAGGACUACCCUCAGGGCAUCGAGUGCGGUGAUGCAAAAUGAUCUCAGAGAAACCAGCGGGAGCACCGCUGAGAGUUCUCUUUUCUUUGCAAAGUGCUGUGCACCUUGAAAUGGGGCCGCCCCGAGAGAGGGCCCAGAGCCUUGGAAAGUGUUGCAGUUCUGGCGGCGUCUAGUGAGCUCUCACUGGUCCUUGAAAAUCUGGGGGAGAAGGUGUAAAUUUCAUGCCAGGCCAUACCCAUAUCUGCAGCAGUUCACCAAGGUGAACACCCUCUGGCAUAUUGGAACAAUGUAGGUAAGGGAAGUCUGCAAGUCAGCUCCGUAACCUCAGGAGCUGGGUCGUUUGGGAUGGGAGUGAAGCAGGGCUGGGCGAUGCUGCAGCUGGAAGAGGCCUCUCCCCUUGAGGCGACAGCGACUCUGUAUGCAAGCCGGCCCUUCCUGUGGAUCACCCCAGCUGCGGUGGUCACCUCUCUCAUUCCCUCCGUGGUUCGGACGAACGUUCUGCCUCAGCGAUGCCUAGCAGCUGACUUGGAACUGGUGCGGUCCAGGGGAAUCCGACAGUUUAAAUAAAACAAAGCAUCGCGAAGGCCCACGGUGGGUGUUGGCACAAUGUGAUUUUUGCCCAGUGCUCUGAAUAUCAAAGUGAAGAAAUUCAAUGAAGGGCGGGUAAAUGGCAGGAGUAACUAUGACUCUCUUAAGGUAGCCAAAUGCCUCGUCAUCUAAUUAGUGACAGACAUGAAUGGAUUAACGAGAUUCCCACUGUUCCUACCUACUAUCUAGUGAAACCACAGGCAAGGGAAUGGGCUUGGUAGAAUCAGCGGGGAAAGAAGAACCUGUAGAGCUUGACUCUAGUCUGGCACUGUGAAGAGACAUGAAAGGUGUAGGAUAAGUGGUAGGCCCUCGGGCCACCGGUGAAAAAGAACUACUUUUAUUGUUUGUUCACUUAACUGUUGAGGCAGGGGAAGAGCCUGGUGCGACUCUCCCUUCUGGCUCCAAGUGCCUGUUACUAGCUGGGAGCGACCUGCUCUGGGGACAGUGGCAGGUGGGGAGAUUGACUGGGGCGGUACACCUGUCAAAUGAUGACGCAGGGGUCCUAAAUUGAGCUCAGGGAGGACAGAAACCUUCCAUGGAGCAGAAGGACAAAAGCUUGCUUGAUCUUGAUUGUCAGUAGGAAUACAGACUGUGAAAGGGGAGCGUCACAAUCCUUCUGACUUUUUGGGUUUCAAGCAGGAGGUGUCAGAAAGUUACCACAGGGAUAACUGGCUUGUGGCGGCCAAGCGUUCAUAGCGAUGUUGCUUUUUGAUCCUUCAAUGUCAGCUCUUCUUAUCAUUGUGAAGCAGAAUUCACCAAGCAUUGGAUUGUUCACCCACUAAUAGGGAGCAUGAGCUGGGUUUAUACCGCCGUGAGACAGGUUACUUUUACCUUACUGAUGAUGUGCUGUUGCAAUAGUAAUCCAACUCAGUACAAGAGGAACCGCAGGUUCGGAUAUUUGAUGCAUGUGCUUGGCUGAGGAGCCAAUGGGCUGAAGCUACCACCUGUGGCAUUAUGACUGAAUGCCUCUAACUCAGAAUCCCCACUAAACCGUCUUAAAACUGUAGUGCCGUGGAGCCACGGUUGGCCUAGGAUAGCCAGCCUCUAAGCCAGUACGUUGAGCUGUUAGCCUCAGCACUCGAAUGUGAACAGAAGGGGCCACUUCUCCUGCCCGUAGUGCACCACAUAU
RNAcentral lists this ribosomal RNA (2910 nucleotides) under Ambystoma mexicanum (axolotl). RNAcentral describes it as "eukaryotic LSU rRNA". The stretch from base 883 to 2910 matches the Rfam family "Eukaryotic large subunit ribosomal RNA". Lineage: Eukaryota; Metazoa; Chordata; Amphibia; Caudata; Ambystomatidae. The record is from RNAcentral.